RNAcentral lists this ribosomal RNA (626 nucleotides) under uncultured Russulaceae. RNAcentral describes it as "LSU rRNA". It matches the Rfam family "Eukaryotic large subunit ribosomal RNA", at positions 47 to 649 of the family's 3401-position model. Lineage: Eukaryota; Fungi; Basidiomycota; Agaricomycetes; Russulales; Russulaceae. The record is from RNAcentral.
UAAGCGGAGGAAAAGAAACUAACAAGGAUUCCCCUAGUAACUGCGAGUGAAGCGGGAAAAGCUCAAAUUUAAANUCUGGUGGUCUUUGGCCAUCCGAGUUGUAAUUUAGAGAAGUGUCUUNCGCGCUGGACCGUGCACAAGUCUCCUGGAAUGGAGCGUCAUAGAGGGUGAGAAUCCCGUCUUUGGCACGGACACACAGGGCUUUUGUGAUACACUCUCGAAGAGUCGAGUUGUUUGGGAAUGCAGCUCAAAAUGGGUGGUGAACUCCAUCUAAAGCUAAAUAUUGGCGAGAGACCGAUAGCGAACAAGUACCGUGAGGGAAAGAUGAAAAGCACUUUGGAAAGAGAGUGAAACAGUACGUGAAAUUGUUGAAAGGGAAACGCUUGAAGUCAGUCACGUUAACCGAGACUCAGCCUUGCCUUGGCUUGGUGUACUUCUUGGCUAACGGGUCAGCAUCAAUUUUGCCCCUUGGAUAAUGGUAAGGGAAAUGUGACACCUUUAUGGUGUGUUAUAGUCUCUUGUCGCAUGCAAGGGUUGGGAUUGAGGAACUCAGUACGCACCUUUGGGUGUCGGGGCUUUGCCUACGAUACGUGCUUAGGAUGUUGGCAUAAUGGCUUUAAACGACC